CCAGGAUGGGGGUUCCCCAGCACCCUGGUCACUUUACCUUGCCCACUGACGCAAUUGAUGCCGCCCACGACACACGUGGAGCCGCGUCAUUGCAAAGAAGGGGGUAUAAAAGAGCUCCGUCAGCCCAUGCCGGCAGUGUGAGCUCUGCAGGAUCAGCCGCAUCCCUGUUUGAACUGCGGCAUAGGGAGGACCUGGCAUUUUAAACAUAUGGAGGCUUAACCAGCUUUCUGGGAUUAUCUGACUGUCAUCUCAAGAUCACUGUUUGCCUGUAUGUUCCUGAAGAAGCCCUGUAUGUGGGCGAAACAUGUAGAACUAGUUACACGGGCCUCAUGAAGAAGUCUCUUUGCACCUGGUUGCAUAAGCAGUACUCUUUUUGUGAUUUUUUUUUUUUAAGAAUUAAAACUUUGGAUAAUAAUGUAAUUUAAUUCAAGGAAAAUAUUUUGUAUCAAAUGUUAUUUUUUAUAUAAAAGGAUACACUUUU
Molecule: long non-coding RNA, 481 nt
Organism: Rana temporaria (common frog)
Lineage: Eukaryota; Metazoa; Chordata; Amphibia; Anura; Ranidae
Exons: 3
Source: RefSeq, a predicted model, not a curated record